Molecule: long non-coding RNA, 1064 nt
Filed under: Anser brachyrhynchus (Pink-footed goose)
Lineage: Eukaryota; Metazoa; Chordata; Aves; Anseriformes; Anatidae
Description: lncRNA (ENSABRG00000016991.1)
Source: RNAcentral
AGGAAGAGCUGCUAUUCUUGUCCCCAGACAACAUGAACCAGAUGCCAAAACAUGCUGCUAUUUAUUGCUGCUGUUACUUGAAAGAUAUCUAUGGGAAAAGAGAAGAUCCAGUGUGCAACAUUUUAGAAAGAUGCAACUGAAAAAGACAGCAUUUAUCUUAAACAUAUACUAUGCAUGAGCAGACGGUAGAAAUAUAAAUGGAGAUUCCAAUUGUCCUUGGGCUGCUAAAAUUUUUCAUAUAUAAAGAGGCCACUAUCUAAACUCAUAUCCAAUGUUAGAGAUGGAAAAAAGAAGAAGUUUGGAACAGAAGGAUGAAACAAAUGAUCUUGCAACAGCAUGGGAGUAGUGGCAACACUGACAUGGCCAGGGCACCAGUAUCUAUCUGAAGAGAGAAGAACAAGACAGGGGACACAGAAUCUGAUGAAGUCCUGUCAUUGUGCUGUGCUUGCCUGGCAUGGCCGGAACUGGUGUACUUCAGACACCACACACCUGGGACGAGUACAUGGGCUAUGGCAGCUGCUCUCUAACAGGCCUUUUGGACCUUCAAAAAGCUGACUGGGCUUUGACAUGCAUAACAGGGGUUUACAGAGUUACUCCUUUGGGAAGUAAGGAAGUGGAAGUACAGAUUGCUUUUGGAUAUUCCAAGCCUCCUAGACCUCAAGUGUUACACUUUGAUUCUUUUUGAGCUGAAACGAGGAAUAUAGUGUGUCUCGGCUACUACGCAUAUCAUCACCUCUGCGUCAAGCAAGAACAUAGCAGCAGCAAGUCUACACUGAAAUCACGUUAAUGAUGUGCUGAACAAGAAAGCUGGAGAAUCCAGAGGCAAGGCAGUCCCUAAUCCUGUUGCUGGCUGUAGGAUUCCCAGCUGUCAGAAAUCAAGGAUCCAGGCGCAGUGCAGCUUAAACAUCAUGGUCAGAGAGAGGCUGACAGCACAGUACCUGUAAGUACAGGCAAUGUGGAGCAAUUUACUUGCUUUUUAAAUGCAUUUGAACCUUUUGUACUCCCUCUGAUAGUGAUGAACUUCAAUUCAAUUCACAAAAAUAAAAAUUCAGAACGAUUUUACA